Molecule: ribosomal RNA, 506 nt
Filed under: uncultured bacterium
Lineage: Bacteria
Description: partial 16S ribosomal RNA
Rfam family: Bacterial small subunit ribosomal RNA
Source: RNAcentral
ACUGAACGCUGGCGGCAGGCCUAACACAUGCAAGUCGAACGGUAACAGGAAACAGCUUGCUGUUUCGCUGACGAGUGGCGGACGGGUGAGUAAUGUCUGGGAAACUGCCUGAUGGAGGGGGAUAACUACUGGAAACGGUAGCUAAUACCGCAUAACGUCGCAAGACCAAAGAGGGGGACCUUCGGGCCUCUUGCCAUCGGAUGUGCCCAGAUGGGAUUAGCUUGUUGGUGGGGUAACGGCUCACCAAGGCGACGAUCCCUAGCUGGUCUGAGAGGAUGACCAGCCACACUGGAACUGAGACACGGUCCAGACUCCUACGGGAGGCAGCAGUGGGGAAUAUUGCACAAUGGGCGCAAGCCUGAUGCAGCCAUGCCGCGUGUAUGAAGAAGGCCUUCGGGUUGUAAAGUACUUUCAGCGGGGAGGAAGGCAUUAAGGUUAAUAACCUUAGUGAUUGACGUUACCCGCAGAAGAAGCACCGGCUAACUCCGUGCCAGCAGCCGCCGUAA